This 1673-nucleotide long non-coding RNA is filed under the name Brassica napus (rape). Its description in RNAcentral is "long non-coding RNA (BNAP_LNC002095)". The record is from RNAcentral. Lineage: Eukaryota; Viridiplantae; Streptophyta; Magnoliopsida; Brassicales; Brassicaceae.
AAAAAAAAGAAACUAAAGAGAAUCAGUGAAGAGAUGUCAAAUCAGUUUCGUGGGAUCUGAGAGAGAGAGAGAGAGAGAGAGAGAGAGAGAGAGAGAAGAAGAAGAGAGAAACAAACCUCUCUCUCUUUAGGGUUUUCAAUCAAAAUCCGAAUGGCAGCACAUCGUCACCAAUUGUUCACCUACGCCCUCCAACCUUCUCUCGCCGCCGCCUCCACCGCUUCCCCCGCUCCCCCUCCUCCGCAACCGCAACCGCAGCAAAACCUCUCCCUUUCUUCUCUCUACGCCUCCUCCGCCGAGCUAAGGGUUAUGGAAGUGGUGAUCAUCAUAACUCGGUUAAGCAUGAUGCUCAGGUUGCUUGUGCUGCUGGUCCUGCCACACCCACUGAUGAUACGGCUUAUGUAGACUUCGAAUACUUUUAGAACUAAUACAAGUAAUAUACUCUACUAUGUGUUUUUUUUUUGUUCAUAUUCUUUUUGAUGGAUACAGAUUGUGAUUUGUAAAGUGGAAGACAAAGAAGUGUAGCUUUAAACAGAGUUUGAGAAUAACAUUUGAACCUUUCGUUUAGCUCAAAUUUUACAAAGCUUAUGUUUUUAAUAAAGUAUCCAAAAUCCUUUCAUCAAAUGUUUCUUAACCGAGUAAUCACUAGCUUUUGAAUAACAUCAGAUUUGAUGGUUUCAUUAUGGUCUAUGUUACUUACAAAGUAUCCAAAAUCCUUCAACACAUUCUUCUGUAAGGUUCUCUUAUCUUUUACUGUUAAGUUGUGGUUUGUCUACUUCUCUGACAGUUUUUGCUUGUUAUCUUUAAUUGGUUUUGAAAGGUGCUUAGCUUGGAACCUUUCUCUUCUGAGUUACCCCAAAAAUGUUUCCAAGUUAAUAUGGUUUUAGGCUCCAAGGGAUUUACUUAUGGUUUAUGGUGCCCUUAUCAUGUAUGAUGCUUAGGUUCAUCUGCUCCUCUAUGCCAAAACUCGAACUUUCUUUCUCUCGUUUAUCUAUAGAAGUUAGUAAGCAUGCGAAGGUGUUGAACAAAACAAACCAAUGCUCAAAAGAGUUGAAGAGAUGAGUUUAAAGGGCAACAAACGCUAAAGCUUUUGCAAUAUCAGACAAGACAUAGUGAAGUUGAAGUCUCUGUUCGGUCUCUUUUGUUAACUUGGGUGUUUUAUUAUUAUGUAAUAAAACAAAAAAAGCUCCAAACUUUAUAAAUCUAUUAAUUGAUGAUGAUAAGAAAUAAAGAGUAAUUUAAUUUAAUAAAAAAAAAGAAACUAAAGAGAAUCAGUGAAGAGAUGUCAAAUCAGUUUCGUGGGAUCUGAGAGAGAGAGAGAGAGAGAGAGAGAGAGAGAGAGAGAAGAAGAAGAGAGAAACAAACCUCUCUCUCUUUAGGGUUUUCAAUCAAAAUCCGAAUGGCAGCACAUCGUCACCAAUUGUUCACCUACGCCCUCCAACCUUCUCUCGCCGCCGCCUCCACCGCUUCCCCCGCUCCCCCUCCUCCGCAACCGCAACCGCAGCAAAACCUCUCCCUUUCUUCUCUCUACGCCUCCUCCGCCGCCGACCGCUACUACCCCGACGCCACGUUCCGCUUCUUAUCUCGCGACGGAUCCGAAUCUUUGACCAACAACUACCAACCAACGGUUGCUUCUUCCUCCUCUUCCUCAGCCAUGUACCACCACCAUCUCCCCA